CAGCUGAACAUCUUCAUUGCAUUUUCAAGGUGGUGAUGAGUUGAUCCUUCUCUUCUGUAACAGCGUCAGAUACUGUCUGAGAUAAACCUGACCCCAGUCACUUCUGCACUUAUCAUCACCGAAAUGUCUUUUGCUGAGCAUUCUGAACUCCAAAAGCUGAUGAAGGGUAUCGUUGAUAUUUUUCGUAACUAUGCUGGCUGCAAAAACACUCUGACCAAUUCAGAAGCUAAAGAACUGCUCGAAAAGGAAUUGUUUGCCAAUGUUCAGGCACCAGAUCACUUGGAAAAGAUGAAAUCACACAUGAAAAUAUUGGACACAAAUCAGGAUGGAAUCAUCACUUUUGUGGAGUUUAUAAACCUGUUAACCGUCCUCAUGGUAUUGAAGAGCAGCAAAUUGCAGGGGUGUCCCAUCCCAACUAAACAGAAAUGUAAGUGAUCCAUUGUACUCUGCUUCGGUAGCUCAUCAAACAUGGUUCACCUGUUACUGUAUUGCUUUGUUUGACCUAAUUGGACAGUUCAAUAAAAAUUAUUCAAUGA
RNA transcript from Callorhinchus milii (elephant shark), 536 nucleotides. It is a transcript of the gene named protein S100-A2-like, with no coding region annotated. The transcript is spliced from 3 exons. The record is from RefSeq and is a predicted model, not a curated record. Lineage: Eukaryota; Metazoa; Chordata; Chondrichthyes; Chimaeriformes; Callorhinchidae.